CCGAGCGUGCACCUCCCACCCCGCCAAUCGACGCGCGCCUCUUUGGAGAGAACGGGUGACGUCAUCCCUACCCCGUGAGGGCGGGGCUGAGGGCGAGGAGGCGGGGCGCUCGUGGGUCCCGCCCUUUUUGCUGCUCACCUUCUCUCCUCACAGCGUCCGCGGUUUCAACGGUCCGGGGCGCUCUGAGGGAAAACCUAACGCGGGGCUCGGCGGCCCCGGGCAGCCAUGAGCAGAUCCCGUUAAGGAUGGUAGUGAGACCUUCCACUGAACGUCCACAUAAGUUGAAAUCUAAAAUCACUGGCAAGGAGUUUCCUCUGGAAGUAAUCCCUCUUAAGCGUCACUCAUGGCCCUCAUAAACGGCUCUCAUGGCAGCCGGCUCUGAAAAUACCUCAUAAAAUACCAACUUUUUUAGCAGCUGUCCUUCCAGUUUUCUGGCAAGAAAGGGGCAUUCUAUGCAAGACGAGACCUCAGUGAGUGUCCCGUGCCCAGGCAGCACCCACUCACCACAGCUGCCCGUGAAUUGCUUCCAUUCUCACACAGCGGUGUAUUUCUGCACAGAAAAACUGCCGUGAUCCCCUCAGCAUCUCAGUUCCAGCAUAGCAGUGUGAAACAUAAAAAUAUCCAACUGCAGAUAGAUCACUGUAAGAAGAAAACGUCAGAGAAGGCGUGAUGUCCCGACUGUUCUUCCUUGCUGCAUCUGUAGGGUGUUACAGACUGCCAUCCUCCGAACUGGAAACAAGCUCCAGAUAUUUGCAGCUGACCUGGGGAAGGAAGGGAGUAGAGGUGAUGGAGUGAAUCCAUCAUGCCAGAGCUUCCGAGCUGAAGGGUUUGAGCCACCUGAUCAGGGAAUCUUAGAACUUUCCUUGGUUGGGCAGACGUUCAGUAGGUAAGGAGUCUGUACAGCACAGCCAACAGAAAAGCAAGGCACACAAAGGAAGGUGGAAAAGUGGGAGGCGAUGGCAAUGGCGAUAAUCCAGUGUGCUCAUUGAGGCUCUGGGAGGAUGCAGGAUCCGCCCGUCCCAGAUGGCGGGCACAGCAUGGCUGCUGCAGUGACUCUGAGCAUGCAUCAGCAGGUCUGUCACAGCACAAGAAGGCAGCGGGGGGGACAAAGAGAAGAGGAGAAAAAGAAGGAGAGAAUUAGGGAAAAAGCAGAGCUGAAUGUUAAAA
RNAcentral lists this long non-coding RNA (1167 nucleotides) under Gallus gallus (chicken). RNAcentral describes it as "long non-coding RNA NONGGAT008276". Lineage: Eukaryota; Metazoa; Chordata; Aves; Galliformes; Phasianidae. The record is from RNAcentral.